UGGUAAGACAGUGCCUGACCUCAAGAAGC
RNAcentral lists this non-coding RNA (29 nucleotides) under Homo sapiens (human). Lineage: Eukaryota; Metazoa; Chordata; Mammalia; Primates; Hominidae. The record is from RNAcentral.